GAUGAACGCUGGCGGCGUGCUUAACACAUGCAAGUCGAACGAAGCACUUUUAUUUGAUUUCUUCGGAAUGAAGAUUUUAGUGACUGAGUGGCGGACGGGUGAGUAACGCGUGGGUAACCUGCCUCAUACAGGGGGAUAACAGUUAGAAAUGGCUGCUAAUACCGCAUAAGCGCACAGGGCCGCAUGGCCCGGUGUGAAAAACUCCGGUGGUAUAAGAUGGACCCGCGUCUGAUUAGCUGGUUGGUGGGGUAACGGCCCACCAAAGGCGACGAUCAGUAGCCGGCCUGAGAGGGUGAACGGCCACAUUGGGACUGAGACACGGCCCAG
This 327-nucleotide ribosomal RNA is filed under the name uncultured bacterium. RNAcentral's name for it is "bacterial SSU rRNA". It matches the Rfam family "Bacterial small subunit ribosomal RNA", at positions 28 to 334 of the family's 1533-position model. The record is from RNAcentral.